RNAcentral lists this ribosomal RNA (253 nucleotides) under uncultured Bacteroides sp. RNAcentral's name for it is "partial 16S ribosomal RNA". It matches the Rfam family "Bacterial small subunit ribosomal RNA", at positions 524 to 776 of the family's 1533-position model. Lineage: Bacteria; Pseudomonadati; Bacteroidota; Bacteroidia; Bacteroidales; Bacteroidaceae. The record is from RNAcentral.
UACGGAGGAUCCGAGCGUUAUCCGGAUUUAUUGGGUUUAAAGGGAGCGUAGGCGGAAGCUUAAGUCAGUUGUGAAAGUUUGCGGCUCAACCGUAAAAUUGCAGUUGAUACUGGGUUUCUUGAGUGCAGUAGAGGUAGGCGGAAUUCGUGGUGUAGCGGUGAAAUGCUUAGAUAUCACGAAGAACCCCGAUUGCGAAGGCAGCCUGCCGCAGCGUUACUGACGCUGAAGCUCGAAAGCGCGGGUAUCGAACAGG